Molecule: long non-coding RNA, 380 nt
Filed under: Brassica rapa (field mustard)
Lineage: Eukaryota; Viridiplantae; Streptophyta; Magnoliopsida; Brassicales; Brassicaceae
Description: long non-coding RNA (BRAP_LNC007580)
Source: RNAcentral
UUUUUGCAAAAAAAAAAAAAUCACACUCUCAACUAUCUCAAAACUUCUCUUAGUAGAUGAGGUGUGAAAGUGCCAUGAGCCAAUCAUUAAAUACGACUGAAAUAAAACAAAACCGGUUGCAAAUGCGAGCAAAAAGCAGGUUACCGGAGGACAUAGUAAAAAGUUUAUUCACUAGUGAACUGAAUUGAAAUUUACAUUUAACAAAAUCCCAAAAAAAAAUCACUUGAUUUUCUUAUUUGUGAUGGGUCCACUUACUUCUUUAGUACUCUGAUUAAAAAGAAUGUAUACACGGAGAAAAGGAAAAGGUAGUUGUAAGGAAAGUACGUGUCGAAUUAUCACUGUCCAUAACAAACGAUAACAAUAAACAACCAACAUCGACU